This 644-nucleotide ribosomal RNA is filed under the name Salmonella enterica. Its description in RNAcentral is "partial 23S ribosomal RNA". It matches the Rfam family "Bacterial large subunit ribosomal RNA", at positions 547 to 1190 of the family's 2925-position model. The record is from RNAcentral. Lineage: Bacteria; Pseudomonadati; Pseudomonadota; Gammaproteobacteria; Enterobacterales; Enterobacteriaceae.
AACCUGAAACCGUGUACGUACAAGCAGUGGGAGCACAGGUUUACCUGUGUGACUGCGUACCUUUUGUAUAAUGGGUCAGCGACUUAUAUUCUGUAGCAAGGUUAACCGAAUAGGGGAGCCGGAGGGAAACCGAGUCUUAACCGGGCGUUAAGUUGCAGGGUAUAGACCCGAAACCCGGUGAUCUAGCCAUGGGCAGGUUGAAGGUUGGGUAACACUAACUGGAGGACCGAACCGACUAAUGUUGAAAAAUUAGCGGAUGACCUGUGGCUGGGGGUGAAAGGCCAAUCAAACCGGGAGAUAGCUGGUUCUCCCCGAAAGCUAUUUAGGUAGCGCCUCGUGAAUUCAUCUCCGGGGGUAGAGCACUGUUUCGGCUAGGGGGCCAUCCCGGCUUACCAACCCGAUGCAAACUGCGAAUACCGGAGAAUGUUAUCACGGGAGACACACGGCGGGUGCUAACGUCCGUCGUGAAGAGGGAAACAACCCAGACCGCCAGCUAAGGUCCCAAAGUCAUGGUUAAGUGGGAAACGAUGUGGGAAGGCCCAGACAGCCAGGAUGUUGGCUUAGAAGCAGCCAUCAUUUAAAGAAAGCGUAAUAGCUCACUGGUCGAGUCGGCCUGCGCGGAAGAUGUAACGGGGCUAAACCAU